UACGGAGGGUGCAAGCGUUAAUCGGAAUUACUGGGCGUAAAGGGUGCGUAGGCGGUUGUUUAAGUCUGUUGUGAAAUCCCCGGGCUCAACCUGGGAAUGGCAAUGGAUACUGGGCAGCUAGAGUGUGUCAGAGGGUGGUGGAAUUCCCGGUGUAGCAGUGAAAUGCGUAGAGAUCGGGAGGAACAUCUGUGGCGAAGGCGGCCACCUGGACCAGCACUGACACUGAGGCACGAAAGCGUGGGGAGCAAACAGG
Molecule: ribosomal RNA, 253 nt
Filed under: uncultured bacterium
Lineage: Bacteria
Description: partial 16S ribosomal RNA
Rfam family: Bacterial small subunit ribosomal RNA
Source: RNAcentral